RNAcentral lists this long non-coding RNA (522 nucleotides) under Arabidopsis lyrata. RNAcentral describes it as "long non-coding RNA (ALYR_LNC002929)". Lineage: Eukaryota; Viridiplantae; Streptophyta; Magnoliopsida; Brassicales; Brassicaceae. The record is from RNAcentral.
UAAAUCUGACGUGUAUAGCUUCGGGAUGGUUUGCUUUGAGCUUCUGACAGGUAAAGUACCAUUUGAAGAUAGCCACCUGCAAGGAGAUAAGAUGAGUAGAAACAUUAGGGCUGGGGAGAGACCGCUUUUUCCAUUUAAUUCACCUAAAUUCAUAACAAACCUGACAAAACGAUGCUGGCAUGCUGAUCCGAAUCAGCGUCCAACUUUCUCAUCGAUAAGCAGAGUUCUCCGGUAUAUCAAGCGAUUUCUAGCUUUGAACCCAGAGUAUCACAGUAGUAGCCAACAAGACCCGUCCAUUGCUCCUCCUGUGGAUUACUGGGAGAUCGAGUCUAAGCUAUUGCAGAAGCUUUCAUGGGAAUCUACAGAGUUAACUCAAGUUUCACAGGUUCCUUUUCAAAUGUUUGCAUAUAGGGUGGUGGAACGGGCACAAACUUGUAAAAAGGAUAAUCUCCGGGAAACAUCGGAAUCAGGUAGUGAAUGGGCUUCCUGUAGCGAGGAUGAGGGUGGGGCAGGAUCAGAUGA